RNAcentral lists this ribosomal RNA (253 nucleotides) under uncultured bacterium. RNAcentral's name for it is "partial 16S ribosomal RNA". It matches the Rfam family "Bacterial small subunit ribosomal RNA", at positions 524 to 776 of the family's 1533-position model. The record is from RNAcentral.
UACGAAGGAUCCAAGCGUUAUCCGGAUUCAUUGGGUUUAAAGGGAGCGUAGGCGGUUUAAUAAGUCAGUGGUGAAAUCCCUCAGCUCAACUGAGGACCUGCCAUUGAUACUGUCGAACUAGAGUACAGAUGACGUUGGCGGAAUGUGUCAUGUAGCGGUGAAAUGCAUAGAUAUGACACAGAACACCGAUUGCGAAGGCAGCUGACGAAACUGAAACUGACGCUGAGGCUCGAAAGUGCGGGGAUCAAACAGG